AAGUCGUAACAAGGUUUCCGUAGGUGAACCUGCGGAAGGAUCAUUACAAAUCACGUCACCGUGUGUGAUCGUGUCAUUGACCCUGUUGAAACGUGAGUGGGGGCGCGGCCAGCAGCCAAUUGGAAGCGAUGGCGACGCCCCCAUUUCCUUUUAUGGACGACUCUGGAUGGACAUGAGAGGCGCGCCGUGCGUGCAUGUGCGUGCCUCGUAUCAUAUCAUUGAGAACAAUGAUCAACUUUUAACAAUGGAUCUCUUGGCUCUU
RNAcentral lists this unclassified non-coding RNA (262 nucleotides) under fungal sp. Its description in RNAcentral is "partial internal transcribed spacer region". The stretch from base 1 to 46 matches the Rfam family "Eukaryotic small subunit ribosomal RNA", at positions 1786 to 1831 of the family's 1831-position model. Lineage: Eukaryota; Fungi. The record is from RNAcentral.